GCGCGCACGGGCUCUGCGCCUGCGUGCUAGUCCGUACGCGGUGCCAGAGACUGUAAGUGGGCUUCAGCUCGGCCGCGCGCCUGUGGAAGUUCUUUCUCUACUCGGAAAAGGGAAAGCAUUUCCUUGAGUUUGCGUUUUAAGGGAAACUUACAGCAUUGACACUUUAUUUAAAAUAUUCACUACUGCUGUAGAAAAAAAAGAAACCCCGAAAAACAGUGGGGCUGCUUCUAAGACGCUGGGAAUCAGUAAAGAAUAGUGAUCCGGGAGAUACAGGAAGCAAAUGAUCUGAGCUCAAAAAGCGAGCUGCUUUCAAAGAUAUUUGUAUUUUAUAGAUGCGAUGCAGGAGAGUGAACUCAAGCAGAGCCCAGCGGAUUGCCUGCGUUGGCAAAAUAGAACAGAUAUUCUGGGGAGACCAAGAAAUGGUUCGUCUCUCUUGCUGAGGCUGGAGUGCAGUGGCACUAUCUCGACUCACUGCAGCCUCUGCAUCCUGGGCUCAAGAAAUCCUUCUCCCUCAGCCUCCAGUGUAGCUGGGACUACAGGGUAAAACCCGGAAACUUUCAUGAUUAUGAAGAAUCUGGGAAGCAGAGAAAAAGGGACACUGAACAAGGCAGAAGCUACCUGGGUCGGUAUAAUAAAGAGCUAAGCCAGAGAGAAACGAGGUGUUCCAAUGAACUUACAAGAAGAAGGAGAAGGAAGAGGAGGAGGAAGCAGGAAGAAGGUAGGAAGAGGAGAUUGAUGAAGCUCAUCUCACUUUAAUUUUAUGACUACAAAUCUCUUAUAAGCCCUUAAAUUUAACUAGAAAUCACAUAUAGUACCUAAUUGAUUAAUGCUUCUGGGCCUCUGAUGACUUUUCAAACUUUCUCAUUUUCCUCAAAAUUCUAGCAUUGCUACACCAUUCUCUCUUUAGUUGAUGAACUUGUUUCCUAUUUUACUGAAAAAUUUGAAGUAAUCAUUUUUUUCUUUAAGCUUUCCCACCACAAUCAACCCACUGAGCAACAUUUGUGACCAUUUAACUUGGCUUCCCUCUUGCUGUGUAAAACUUUUUAUGCUCCUAUUUAAGGCCAGUUUCUCCCUAUAUGUCAUUCUUUCCUGACUGCUUAAUAAUAUUGCUUUAGAAAAUUAAAUACUUUAUUUCCUUCAUCAUUAAAAUUUUUUUCACUAAUGGAUUGCUUCUGUCAAUGAAAGACAUUGUUAUUUGUGGUUUUGAUUUGCAUUUCUCUAAUGACCUGUGAUGAUGAGCUUUUUUUCAUGUUUAUUGGCCACAUAAAUGUCUUCCUCUGAGAAGUGUCUGUUCAUAUCCUUCACCCACUUUUUGAUGGGGUUAUUUGUUUUUCUCAUACAUUUAUUAAAGUUCCUUGUAGAUUCUGGAGGAAUAGGAAUGCUUUUACGCUGUUGGUGGGAAUGUAAAUUAGUUCAACCAUUGUGGAAGACAGUGUAGCCAUUCCUCAAGGAUCUAGAACCAGAAAUUCCAUUUGACCCAGCAAUUCCGUUACUGGUUAUAUACCCAAAGGAUUAUAAAUCAUUCUACUAUAAAGACACAUGCACAGGUAUGUUUAUUGCAGCACUAUUCACAAUAGCAAAGACCUGGAACCAACGCAAAUGCCCAUCAAUGAUAGACUGGAUAAAGAAAAUAUGGCACAUAUACACCAUAGAAUACUAUGCAGCGAUAAAAAAGAAUGAGAUCAUGUCCUUUGCAGGGACAUGGAUGAAGCUGGAAACCAUCAUCCUCAGCACACUAACACAGGAACAGAAAACCAAACGUCACAGGUCCUCACUCAUAAGUGGGAGUUGAACAAUGAGAACACAUGGACGCAGUGAGGGGAACAUCACAUACCAGGGCCUGUCAGGGGUUGGGGGACGAGGGGAGGGAGAGCAUUAGGACAAAUAUCUAAUGCAUAUGGGGCUUAAAAACUAGAUGAUGGGUUGAUGGGUGCCACAAACCACCAUGGCACAUGUAUACCUAUAUAACAAACCUGCACGUUCUGCACAUGUAUUCCAGAACUUAAAGUACAAUUUUAAAAAAAAGAUAGUGUUGUUUGUUUCAUCUUAAAAAAAACAAAAUAAAACAAAAUAAAACCAAAUACACCAAAAACUUAUUGAUGUUUUCUUCUGUAACUACUGUUCUACUUCUCUGCUCUGAGAAUCUGCUCUUAUUCUUCUCAAAUUUUCUCCUAUCUCCCUCCAAACUGUUCCAAUCAGUUUUUGCUUCAAUACUCUACCAAAACUGCUGUUUUAGUGGUCACCAACAUCUGGAUUUCAGAAUCUGAUGGUCAGUAAUCAGUCUUAAUCUGAUUUCGCCACUAGUAGCAUUUGGCAUUAGAGAUUACUAUAGAUAUAUGUGAUAGGGUGAUAUGGUUUGGAUCUGUGUGUCGACCCCAAUCUUUUUUGGAUUAUAAUCCCCAAUGUUAAAGGUGGGGCCUGGUGGAGGUGAUUGGAUAGAUCAUAGGAGUGGAUUUCUCAUGAAUGAUUUAGUACCAUCUCUUGGUGCUGUUCUUGUGAUAGUGAGCUUUCAUGAGAUCUGGUUGUUUAAAAGUGUGUGGCACCUCCUUCCCUCUCUCUUGCUCAUGCUCUGGCUACAUGACUUCUCCGCUCCUCUUUUACCUUCUGCAAUGAUAGUAAGUUUCCUGGGGCCUUUCCAGAAACUGAGCAGAUGCCAGCAUCAUGCUUCUUAUACAGCCUCCAAAACUGUGGGACAAUUAAACCUCUCUUCUCUAUAAAUUACUCCAUCUCAAGCAUUUAUUUACAGCAAUACGAGAGCCGGUGAAUAGAAAUGGGCUGUCAGCACCGUUUCUUGUUAAUUUUUUUAUGAACUAGGACUGCAGGUACUUUGUAAUUCAACCUGGUUCCCUCCUUAUUAGUGAAUUCACAUGUAUUUGGAAUGGGUGACAAAGUGGAUUCAUGGAUUCAUAUUACUAGGAAGUAAACUAGAUACAGACUUAAAAUCUUCAGGGAAAAAAUGGCUAUAAAAUGCAAGAGAAACAUAUUCUUGGUCUAUUGUACCUUAAUUAUGAGAAUUAAGAAAAGUGACUUUAUCUCUGGACCUAUAUAUUUAAUGUUUUAAAACUAAAAGUCAGAAGAGAUUUCUUCAAUGAUUAAUUGAAUUCAGCCCCUUCAAUGACAGCAACAGCUCAUAAUUACUGACCAUUUCCUAUGUGCCAUGUGCCAUCCUAAGUGUCUAUUUUUCAUUUUCUCAUUUAGAGCUCAUGAAUGGGGAACACAUAAGUCACAUAAUUUGCCCAAAGUCACACAGUUAGUAUGUGCUAAAUCUUGAAUCUGGAGCUAAAACUACUUAACUCUAAAGCAACUAAUAUGCUUAUGGCACUAAACCAGGCUGUGGAGUUUGGAGUUUGAAAUUCAGAGACGGGCCAAAAACUGUCUCUGAUAACUCAAAAUCCACAGUUGAGUGAAGUUCUUGUUGCCACUAAAGUUUGUCAUUUAGACAACUUAUCUCUCACAAUCAAGAUGUGUUACUUAAAAAUCAAGAAAAAUAGAAGUAGUUUUAAAAAUUGCAAGCUAAACAGCAAAAUAAUCAGUAGAGUAAACAGACAACCUACAGAAUGGGAGAAAAUAUUUGCAAACUAUGCAUCUGGCAAAGGUCUAAUAUCCAGAAUCUAUAAGGAACUCAAACAAAUCAACAAGCAACAAACUAACAACCCCAUUAAGGAAUGGGUAAAAAACAUGAACAGACACUUCUCAGAACAAAAUAUGCACAUUGCCAACAAGCAUAUGAAAAAUGCUCAAUAUCACUGAUUAUUAGAGAAAUGCAAAUCAAAACAACAAUGAGAUAUAAUCUCACACCAAUCAGAAUGGCUGGUAGCAUUCUUUUUUAUCAAAAAGUCAAAAAAUAACAGUUUCUGACAAGGUUACACAGUAAAAGGAAUGCUUAUACACUGCUUGUGGAAAUGUAGUUCAGACACUGUGGAAAGCAGUUUGGAAAUUUCUCAAAGAACUUAAAAUAGAAAACAAUUCAACCCAGCUAUCCUAUUACUGGGUGUAUACACAAAGGGAUAUACAUCAUUCUACCAUAAAGACACAUGCAUGUGUAUGCUCAUAGCAGCACUAUUCACAACAGCAAAGGCAUGGAAUCAACCGAGAUGCCCAUCAACAGUGGACUGGAUAAAGAAAAUGUGGUACAUCUACACCAUGGCUACUAUGCAAUCAUAAAAAAGAAUGAAAUUGUGUCUUUUGCUGCAACAUGAAUGGAGCCGAAAGCUUUGUGAAGGUUCCAUUCACAAAGAUGGGAACAGUGGACACGGGACUCUACUUAAGGGUGGAGGUUGGGAGAAGGCUGAGGAUUGAAAAACUACCUAUUGGAUAUUAUGCUGAUUACCUGGAUGACAAAAUUAUCUGUACACCAAAUCCCUGCAACACACAAUUUACCUGUAUAACAAAUCUGUGCAUGUACCCCUUGAAGCUAAAAUAGAAGUUGGAAAGAAAAAAAUGCAAGUUAAAAAGAAAAAAAGGAGCUUUAGAGAUUCUUUGUAAAAAUCAAAAUCUUUUUGAAACUUUAUAGAAACUUUGUAGUAAUGAGCUAAUCCAUUCAGCGUUUUCUCUCCUGUAAUUACAGCAUAUAACCGUUACCUCCUCAAACAUUUUUUCAAAAUGUUUAUUCAGAACAAUGAUCCAGACAAAAGUUGAUUAUUUGAGGAAACAUUCUGUCUCUAAGGUCUGUAUGAUAGUGUAUUCAAUGAAUACAUCUAAUGCCAUUCAAACCAUUCAAGUACUAACUGAGCUUACUUAGUACUAUGAGCUCACAAUUACCUUAGGGCCACAAAACUUAAAUACUCUUAAACAAACCCUAAUAUAUAAUCGCUUAAAUGUCUCCUACCAACUCUAUUUAAAACUCAAAAUAAUUCAGACUCUUUCCCCAUUACGCAGAGUUG
Gorilla gorilla gorilla (western lowland gorilla) is the source of this 4883-nucleotide long non-coding RNA. RefSeq lists it as uncharacterized. The transcript is spliced from 4 exons. The record is from RefSeq and is a predicted model, not a curated record. NCBI's taxonomy places the organism in Eukaryota, Metazoa, Chordata, Mammalia, Primates, Hominidae.